UACGGGGGGAGCAAGCGUUGUUCGGAUUUACUGGGCGUAAAGGGCGCGUAGGCGGCCACCGCAAGUCGAUUGUGAAAUCUCCGGGCUUAACCCGGAAAGGUCAACCGAUACUGCGGGGCUAGAGUGCAGAAGGGGCAACUGGAAUUCUCGGUGUAGCGGUGAAAUGCGUAGGAUAUCGAGAGGAACACCUGCGGCGAAGGCGGGUUGCUGGGCUGACACUGACGCUGAAGUGCGAAAGCGUGGGGAGCAAACAGG
RNAcentral lists this ribosomal RNA (255 nucleotides) under uncultured bacterium. RNAcentral's name for it is "partial 16S ribosomal RNA". It matches the Rfam family "Bacterial small subunit ribosomal RNA", at positions 524 to 776 of the family's 1533-position model. The record is from RNAcentral.